RNAcentral lists this ribosomal RNA (273 nucleotides) under uncultured Rhizobiaceae bacterium. RNAcentral describes it as "partial 16S ribosomal RNA". It matches the Rfam family "Bacterial small subunit ribosomal RNA", at positions 1111 to 1382 of the family's 1533-position model. The record is from RNAcentral. Lineage: Bacteria; Pseudomonadati; Pseudomonadota; Alphaproteobacteria; Hyphomicrobiales; Rhizobiaceae.
UUAGUUGCCAGCAUUUAGUUGGGCACUCUAAGGGGACUGCCGGUGAGUAAGCCGAGAGGAAGGUGGGGAUGACGUCAAGUCCUCAUGGCCCUUACGGGCUGGGCUACACACGUGCUACAAUGGUGGUGACAGUGGGCAGCGAGCACGCGAGUGUGAGCUAAUCUCCAAAAGCCAUCUCAGUUCGGAUUGCACUCUGCAACUCGAGUGCAUGAAGUUGGAAUACGCUAGUAAUCGCGGAUACAGCAUGCCGCGGUGAAUACGUUCCCGGGCCUU